AUGAAUUGCUUAAGUUGGAACUGUCGAGGGGCGGGGAACCUUCGCACAGUUCGUGAUCUUGUAGCGCUUGUGGGUGCUCAUUCCCCGAAAGUGGUCUUUCUGUGUGAAACUAGACAACCAAAAGAAAAGAUGUAUCGUCUUCGUAAUCGAUUAGGCUUAGCUGGUUUUGAAGGAGUUAGUAGUGAUGGUCGUAGUGGUGGUCUAGCUUUAUUUUGGCAUGAGUCUGUAUCCCUGGUUGUUCAAGAGGCUAAUAAUAGAUGGAUUGAUGCUUAUGUCCGUUUGUCACCUGAUGAUCCUUUGUGGCGUGUCACCUUUGUGUAUGGCGAGCCACGAGUGGAAAAUAGACAUUUUAUG
This 354-nucleotide ribosomal RNA is filed under the name Triticum aestivum (bread wheat). Its description in RNAcentral is "partial small subunit ribosomal RNA". The record is from RNAcentral. Lineage: Eukaryota; Viridiplantae; Streptophyta; Magnoliopsida; Poales; Poaceae.